GAUGAACGCUGGCGGCGUGCCUAAUACAUGCAAGUCGAGCGAACAGACGAGGAGCUUGCUCCUCUGACGUUAGCGGCGGACGGGUGAGUAACACGUGUAUAACCUACCUAUAAGACUGGUAUAACUUCGGGAAACCGGAGCUAAUACCGGAUAAUAUAUUGAACCGCAUGGUUCAAUAGUGAAAGACGGUUUUGCUGUCACUUAUAGCUGGAUCCGCGCCGCAUUAGCUAGUUGGUAAGUUAACGGCUUACCAAGGCAACGAUGCGUAGCCGACCUGAGAGGGUGAUCGGCCACACGGGAGCUGAAACGCGGUCCCGACUCCUGCGGGAGGCAGCAGUGGGGUAUCGUCCGCAAUGGGCGAAAACCUGACAGAGCAACGCCGAGUGAGUGAUGAAGGUCUUCGGAUCGUAAAACUCUGUUAUUAGGGAAGAACAAAUGUGUAAGUAACUAUGCACGUCGUGACGGUACCGAAUCAGAAAGCCACGGCUAACUACGUG
Molecule: ribosomal RNA, 497 nt
Filed under: uncultured bacterium
Lineage: Bacteria
Description: partial 16S ribosomal RNA
Rfam family: Bacterial small subunit ribosomal RNA
Source: RNAcentral